UUUAUGGAGAGUUUGAUCCUGGCUCAGGAUGAACGCUGGCGGCGUGCCUAAUACAUGCAAGUCGAGCGAACAGACGAGGAGCUUGCUCCUCUGACGUUAGCGGCGGACGGGUGAGUAACACGUGGGUAACCUACCUAUAAGACUGGGAUAACUUCGGGAAACCGGAGCUAAUACCGGAUAAUAUUUUGAACCGCAUGGUUCAAAAGUGAAAGAUGGCUCUGCUAUCACUUAUAGAUGGACCCGCGCCGUAUUAGCUAGUU
The sequence is a ribosomal RNA, 260 nucleotides long. It matches the Rfam family "Bacterial small subunit ribosomal RNA", at positions 1 to 250 of the family's 1533-position model.